This 492-nucleotide ribosomal RNA is filed under the name uncultured bacterium. Its description in RNAcentral is "partial 16S ribosomal RNA". It matches the Rfam family "Bacterial small subunit ribosomal RNA", at positions 29 to 507 of the family's 1533-position model. The record is from RNAcentral.
AGUGAACGCUGGCGGUAGGCCUAACACAUGCAAGUCGAACGGCAGCACAGUAAGAGCUUGCUCUUACGGGUGGCGAGUGGCGGACGGGUGAGGAAUACAUCGGAAUCUACUUUUUCGUGGGGGAUAACGUAGGGAAACUUACGCUAAUACCGCAUACGACCUACGGGUGAAAGCAGGGGAUCUUCGGACCUUACGCGAUUGAAUGAGCCGAUGUCGGAUUAGCUAGUUGGCGGGGUAAAGGCCCACCAAGGCGACGAUCCGUAGCUGGUCUGAGAGGAUGAUCAGCCACACUGGAACUGAGACACGGUCCAGACUCCUAUGGGAGGCAGCAGUGGGGAAUAUUGGACAAUGGGCGCAAGCCUGAUCCAGCCAUACCGCGUGGGUGAAGAAAGCCUUCGGGUUGUAAAGCCCUUUUGUUGGGAAAGAAAAGCAGCAGGUUAAUACCCCGCUGUUCUGACGGUACCCAAAGAAUAAGCACCGGCUAACUUCGUG